Molecule: ribosomal RNA, 396 nt
Filed under: uncultured bacterium
Lineage: Bacteria
Description: partial 16S ribosomal RNA
Rfam family: Bacterial small subunit ribosomal RNA
Source: RNAcentral
AUACGUAGGUGGCGAGCGUUGUCCGGAAUUAUUGGGCGUAAAGCGCAUGUAGGCGGUUUGGUACGUCGGUCGUGAAAAUGCGGUGCUUAAAUCCGGCUGGCGAUUGAAACUGUUGAACUUGAGUGCCGGAGAGGCAAGGGGCACUCCCAGUGUCGCGGUGAAAUGCGUAGAUAUUGGGAAGAACACCGGUGGCGAAGGCGCCUUGCUGGACUGUGUCUGACGCUCAGAUGCGAAAGCCAGGGUAGCGAACGGGAUUAGAUACCCCGGUAGUCCUGGCCGUAAACGAUGGGUACUAGGUGUGGGAGGUAUCGACUCCUUCCGUGCCGGAGUUAACGCAAUAAGGACCCCGCCUGGGGAGUACGGCCGCAAGGCUUAAACUCAAAUGAAUUGACGGGG